This 3728-nucleotide long non-coding RNA is filed under the name Mus musculus (house mouse). RNAcentral describes it as "long non-coding RNA chr8:112911391-112915119". Lineage: Eukaryota; Metazoa; Chordata; Mammalia; Rodentia; Muridae. The record is from RNAcentral.
GGCUAUGGGGGACUUUUGGUAUAGCAUUGGAAAUGUAAAUGAACUAAAUACCUAAUAAAAAAUGGAAAAAAAAGAAAGUAAAAAAAAAUAUUGUUGAUAAAAAGCAGCUGACUCAAGAGGACAUGAUGGUUGGGAACUAGGCCCUGGUGUAAUAUGUCAUUACUUUCCAAGCUAUCCUACAGCAUUUGGAUGCAUUAUGAGGUAUAAUAUGAUGCUUGAAUCCCUGCCAACAUAAUUAGCAUAUGGGUCACUGUUAGCACUUACUUCAUCCUUUCCCUAGGUGAUGCUCUGCAGAUGUUGAAGCUCUCUUGGGCACCCAUCUUGUAUCCUUCUCUCCCUCCCUCCAGUUCCUGCAGCAUCUCUCCCAGGGUCUGCUCUCCACUCUUGCUAUAAUAUACCAAGAUUAAAAUACCAAGUCUAGCCUGUGUGCUUGCAGAGUUCACCUCUGCCUGCAUCCUCUCAGAGCAGACGUUAAGCUAAACAGAUUCGUACUAUAUAUCCUGUGUAUUCGAUAAAUGCAUGCUUCUCCAGUAUGCAUUUAAAUUAAAAUUUCCAUUUCACAUAAAAACAAGAGCCAUGAAACUGUCUUAUGGGUGUUGAUUUUUAUAGAAUCUCCUGUCCAUACAAACAUUACAGCUCCUUGAGUUGACACAUGGAGGUGAUUUGAUGGAUGGAUGUUCAGAGGAAACAUGUCUCCAUGGUUCAAGGGCUGAGGAAUGCUACCACGCUGUCUGAUAGGGUGCUGAUAUUUUCCAAAUAUAAAUUAAAUUGUUUUUAUGAUGUAAUCUAAUUGCUUAGAAGGCAACACUGAGAAUACCCAGAAAAAGGAGGCUAUAGAUAAAAGACUUUUGCAACUUCAAACUACAGACUAUAGACUAAAAGAGAAACAGCACCUGCCUGUUUGAAUUGCUUUUUUAAAAUCUGCACAGUCAUGUUAGGUGUGCCUGUAAUUUUCUGGUGACACUGAUGUUAAUAUAGGAAUGUGAAUCCUCUACCCAUAUUUAAUGAACAGAGUUUAAUCUAGUUCCUCGAGCACAUGUCUACUAUAAUUUGUAUAAAUCAGCAGUUAUAUAUCAAAUAUAUUCUUCCUAAACACCUUAACACCUACAAAUGGGAGGGUUUUAGAAGGCAGGGGGUCUUCCACAGACUGUUCUCCCUCUGAAGUUUAAUAGAUGAAAUUGAAUACCUUCUCCUCAUUGAAAAAGCCUGUGAAGUGUUAGAAAACAAAUCUGAGCUGAAAAAAUACUAAAUUUCAGCAAGUGUUUUACUAAGUUCACAAUAUAUUUGGGAGUUUGAAGUAAAAAAAAAAAAACACACACACACACACACAAAAAACAAACAAACAAAACCCUGGAGUAUAACAUAGUUAAUGGUAAUUUUACAACUGUCUAGGACUCAUCCCUUUUUAAGAUCAUGAAUCUUAAUUUUAUUUCUAAGAAUAUAAAUAUCCAAAAUGUCACUAUAGCUUCCUUCCCUCUCCUCCUCUCCCCACCAUCAAUCUUUUUCUCUUGUACAUAGCCCAGGCUGGACAAGAAUAUAUAUUGUAUGUGAGGAUAAUCUUGGAUUUCCAAUCUUUCUGCCUUUCAUUCCUCAAGGCUAAGGAUUUCAGGCAUGCCCCAGCCUAUCAGACCACACGUUUCUGUUACCCACUCUUAUGGACAACCACAGCCAUAUUUGUUCCCCUGUGAUUUCUGCCACCUUAUUGUACUGCAGCUAUCUCAAAAUCUGGCUUAUAGUAUGUCUUAGGAAUUAUAGUAGUUACUUAUCUUCCACUAGAUCUUGUUGUUUAAAGUAAUAACCAUAUUAAAUAUAUAUCUAUAAUUCAAUAUUGUCAUUGGGCAGAAGCCAUAAACUGGGUUGUCAAAGCAGUUUACUGACUGGACAUGGUUAACAACACACAUCCUAGAUAUAUUUACUGGAAGGGUUUUUUUGUUUGUUUGUUUGUUUGUUUUAACUUAGUUGUUCUCCAUGACAAAAUGCGAUUAGAAUGUAGAAAUUACACAUAUCAAACUGAUAUGGGAGUGACUUAGCAUAAUUCAAAACUCAUCACUUCAGAGGAAAGGAUAUUAAAACCUGUAGCAAUAGGAGUAAUUAACCUGAAUAUAUAAACCACUCAUAAAGAUUGUAUGGUAGUUGAGGUAUCAGCAAGAUAGCAAAGGAUCGAACCUCGAGGUGACCAAGGUAUUUCUCUGAGCUAAAUUUUAUUUUAUUAUAUUAAUUAAUUAAUUAAUUAAUUAAUUUUGGUUUUUCGAGACAGGGUCUCCCUCUGAGCUAAAUUUUAUUUAUUUAUUUAUUUAUUUAUUUAUUUAUUUAUUUAUUUAUUUUGUUUUUUCGAGACAGGGUUUCCCUGUAUAGCCCUGGAUGUCCUGGAACUCACUUAGUAGAACAGGCUGGCCAGGAACUCAGAAAUCCGCCUGCCUCUGCCUCUGCCUCUCAAGUGCUGGGCUUAAAGGCGUGCGCCACCAUGCCUGGCUUAAUGUGUAGCCCAGGCUGGACUCGAACUCAUGAUCCUCCUGCCUCUGCCUCCUUCUGCAAAUCCUACCGGGGUGUGCCACCACCACUGGCGAUAAAUUUUAAAAUUAUUCCUCCCAUCAUUAUUCCACAGUGAGCAAAAGUUAGAUGGAAGAUGUGGGUGUGGGUUAAAGGGAAGACUACUUCAAGAUUGGAGUAAAGUCUUAAACAGUGUGGUAUAUGAGGCACACUGACUCUUUAAUCACCAUGUAGGUGCUGUGUGGAAAAUAGAAAGAAAUUUACUCACAGGGCAUAUUAUUUAAAUGACAUCAAUCUAAAUUGAUACCUAUCCCUUGUUGUUGUUGUUGUUGUUGUUGUUGUUUUGUUUCAUUUUUCAAGAUACAAUUUCUCAAGUAGCCCUGGCUGUCCGAGAACUCACUAUGCAGACUGAGCUGGCCUUGAACUCACAGUGAUAAUCUGCCUCUGCCUCCCAAGCACUGGGAUUAAAGGUGUGCGCAACUGUACCUGGUAUGUUAUCCUUACUUAUUCCUACUUGUUGUAGUUGGCUUUAUAAAAAUAAAAGCAAUCGAAUGACCCCAAAAGAGAAUGUCCUAUGAUCAUGUUAAUCCUCAUUAAACACAGUAAAAAUGUACAGCAGAUUUUGAAAGAGGCAGUGUGUAUAUGGAGGGGAGCCAUACUCACAGAGAGUUGAACUGUGAUUCUGUUCAAGGCGUUUUUAAAUCAUUGUGCUUGUAGUCAUAAAUAAAGAAAACAAAUAAUUCCAUUAGUGUUUCAUACUCACAUGGCUAUGUUUUGUGGAUUUAAAAUGUAGUAAAUUAGAGAUAUUAAUCCCUUUAUGCUUGUAAAAUUAAAAAGGGGCAGCAAUGAGUCACCCACCGUGCUUCCAGAAUGCAUUGCUUUGGGGAGCAGUGUGCCUACUAAUGACAUCAUGAUUGUUUAGUAGAAAUUCAGUUUAUAUAAACUGUGUUCCAUGUCAGUUGCUGCUGGGUUAAAAGUCCGAUAUGUACUGGAAUUAAAUGUCCAUAGUUACAUGAAUACAAAUAUGUAUAUAUGCACUAAUAUGCCCAUCAUAUAUAUGCAUAUAUGUAUAUAUGAUAUAUGUGACAUAUAUGAUAUAUAACAUAUAGUAUUAUGUAUAUACAUAUGCAUGUAUAUAUUAUGUAUGUAUAUAUGCAUGUAUGUUGUGAUACUCACCAAUACCUUGGUUCUUAGGAAUGUUAAAUGUGCUAGGGUCAAUUGUGAUUGAUUUGUAAUUU